RNAcentral lists this ribosomal RNA (497 nucleotides) under uncultured bacterium. RNAcentral's name for it is "partial 16S ribosomal RNA". It matches the Rfam family "Bacterial small subunit ribosomal RNA", at positions 28 to 507 of the family's 1533-position model. The record is from RNAcentral.
GAUGAACGCUGGCGGCGUGCCUAAUACAUGCAAGUCGAGCGAACGGACGAGAAGCUUGCUUCUCUGAUGUUAGCGGCGGACGGGUGAGUAACACGUGGAUAACCUACCUAUAAGACUGGGAUAACUUCGGGAAACCGGAGCUAAUACCGGAUGAUAUUUUGAACCGCAUGGUUCAAAAGUGAAAGACGGUCUUGCUGUCACUUAUAGAUGGAUCCGCGCUGCAUUAGCUAGUUGGUAAGGUAACGGCUUACCAAGGCAACGAUGCAUAGCCGACCUGAUAGGGUGAUCGGCCACACUGGAACUGUGACACGGUCCAGGCUCCUACGGGAGGCAGCAGUAGGGUAUCUUCCGCAAUGGGCGAAAGCCUGACGGAGCAACGCCGCGUGAGUGAUGAAGGUCUUCGGAUCGUAAAACUCUGUUAUUAGGGAAGAACAUAUGUGUAAGUAACUGUGCACAUCUUGACGGUACCUAAUCAGAAAGCCACGGCUAACUACGUG